UGGAGUGUGGGGUGCUGGGGGCCCCUGCGACCCACACUGGCCUGUCCCGUCUUCUGUCCCCGAGUGAACGGGUUCCUGUCCCUCCGCGCCCCCGCCAGGCCUCUGCUGAGGCUUUCGGGGACUGGGGAUCCCGGUCGUGGCCCCCGAGGGCAGCCCCUAGCGACCAAGGGGAGCGCGCAGGACUCGGGUCGGUGUGCCGCAGGCCGCCCCUCCCAGAGGCGCGGUGGGACCCAGAACGCGGCCCGGGGCGAGCCCUCUCGGUGCUCUGGGUCCCACAGGUUCAGCCGGUGCACCACCCGGGAAGGAGGAACGUCCCCCAUCUCCUACUGUGGUCUCCAGGAGCUGCCGGAGGCCUCAGCACCUCAGAACCAUCCCUCCUAGAGCCCCUCCAGGGCCAGGGGUCUGCCUAACCCGUCUGCACUUGAAGCAGAAAUGCCUCAGGGGCAGGGGGCCGUCUCUGGCUGAGAGGCCCCUCCGUGUCCUGGCAGGGAGAUGAGGAGUGGUCCCUGGCCUCUGUGCGGUGGACCUUGGGUUCCCUUGUAGCAGUUCCCAGGGACAGUCCAUCUCUGAUCCUGGACCCAAGUCCUGAGAGCCUCCAGCAAGAGCCCUUCAGCAGCCCCCGCCCAGAAAUACAGGUGCUGGUGGGGUUUGGAGGGUCAUCUGAGCCUGUUGUAAUCUCUGCUCUGUUAAGGGGAGGGGAGGAGGAGGCUUAAGGUCAGCACCCGCCUUCCCCAGGAAGCUGAACGUGGUUCUGGUGGCCUCCGUACCCCCAGAAGGGUGUGUGGGCACAACUGCAAAGAUGAGGGCCCAAGGCACACCAAACAGCAUGGACCGCCUCCUGUGUGCAGAAGACAUGUGGCGUGUUCCCCAAGUUCGCACACACACGCCAGAAGCUUUCCCUUCAUUGGCCUCUCUCAGGACCCCAGAGGCGAGGGGGAGGUGGGCUGGAAGAUGUGUCACCCCACCUCUGACCAGAGCCACCUUUCUAGGCUGUCCUACUGGCAACCAGAGGAAGGAGCCUGGACUCUGCAGGUGUGGUGGCUGGGUGCUGGGUGCCACCAGGCUGACAUGAGAGGGAAGAGACAAGGCCCAACUGGGCAGCUGAAGCUAAGCCCCAGGGAGCUCCCA
This is a long non-coding RNA of Canis lupus familiaris (dog), 1128 nucleotides long. RefSeq lists it as uncharacterized. The record is from RefSeq and is a predicted model, not a curated record. NCBI's taxonomy places the organism in Eukaryota, Metazoa, Chordata, Mammalia, Carnivora, Canidae. The transcript is spliced from 3 exons.